UGUAACUUGCAAGCAAAAUAGAGCUGGUUAUAUAUAUUACACUUUGCUUACCUCUCUUUGAGAUGGUCUUAGGCUUGAAGCGAGACCAUUUCUAAGCAAAUUAAAACUACGUCAUCCCUUGGCGUGUUUGUAGUUUGAAUGUUCAUUUUUUUGUGUUUUUUGGCUUCCAAGAAUUCUCACAUACCCAUAUGAAAAAGCACAUAAAACCCCCUUCAUAAAUAGAUGAAUAAGAAACUAUAUAUAAUUCCAGAGAUCAAAUUUUCUUGGCUUAACAUUAUUAUUUAUAUUUUUUUCUUAUUGGUGAAUUCAAGAAAUUAAAGAUCAAUUAUGUGGCAGAUACGAUCUUGGGCUUCUUACAAAUUCCGAAGUAUGCUUGAGUUAAUUCGUCCCGGUAUAUCUGCUUUCUCAUCCUCCAUGAAUACUGUCUAUCACAGAAACUCUAAUUCAUCAGGUAUGCCGAUGGCUAAGUUUGGAUAUGGUUUUCCAAAGCACCAAGGACUGCAGUUGUUCGGCAACACCACCGGUAGCAAAACUUUGACAACAUUUGGUACCAACAUGGUAAAGGAUGGCAAUAAGGAGCAAGUUCCACCACCAGUGCCUCCUCAGAACAACAUUCUUUAUUGGGCAAGAUGGGUUUUGGGCUCUAUAUUAACAUUGCUGCUGCCAUUUUGGAAGCAAUACUGGGGAAAACUACAAAGAAUAGAAGGAAAGGUAGAAAUGGUUGCUGAAGAGGUGGAAAGUGUAGCAGAGGUGGUGGAAAAGGUGGCAAUUAAAGCAGAGAAAGUGUCAUCAGAGGUUGCAAAUGUACUUCCAGAUAAUGGAAAACUGAAGGAAACAGCUUUGAUUGUAGAACACAUUUCAAAAAUAGCAGCCCAAGAUGCCCAACUAACUCUGGAUAUCAUUCACAAGGUUUAUAUAUAUUUUCCAAACCAAUUAAUUCUAAUUAAUUUUGACAAGUAAUUCUAUGGUAUUCCAGGAAUACAUACCCUCAAAUUCAUAAUAGAAUGGACUCCACGUAUGUUUACGAGUGUGGAUGCAUUAAAGCAUGACUUCGAAGAAUUGGAGACUUUAGUUGAGCCUGUUGUCGAUAAGAUUGUGGUAAAUCAUGAAUCUGAUGGAAAGUAAUUAAUUUGGGUAUUGAUCAUAAUAUCAUUUUUUUCCUUGUAAUGUAUUUUCAUAAUUUGGGCAACCGCAUUUUGCCCAUGUGAAUCGUACAACUUUUGUGCUUUGUUCUUUCUACUACAAAACCGUUUGAACUAUUAUUAUUAUUUUUU
Molecule: RNA transcript, 1274 nt
Organism: Ziziphus jujuba (common jujube)
Lineage: Eukaryota; Viridiplantae; Streptophyta; Magnoliopsida; Rosales; Rhamnaceae
Exons: 5
Source: RefSeq, a predicted model, not a curated record